This 468-nucleotide ribosomal RNA is filed under the name uncultured bacterium. RNAcentral describes it as "partial 16S ribosomal RNA". It matches the Rfam family "Bacterial small subunit ribosomal RNA", at positions 28 to 507 of the family's 1533-position model. The record is from RNAcentral.
GACGAACGCUGGCAGCGUGCUUAACACAUGCAAGUCGAACGGAAAGGCCCUGCUUUUGUGGGGUGCUCGAGUGGCGAACGGGUGAGUAACACGUGAGUAACCUGCCCUUGACUUUGGGAUAACUUCAGGAAACUGGGGCUAAUACCGGAUAGGAUCUCCUGCUGCAUGGUGUGGGUUGGAAAGUUUCGGCGGUUGGGGAUGGACUCGCGGCUUAUCAGCUUGUUGGUGGGGUAGUGGCUUACCAAGGCUUUGACGGGUAGCCGGCCUGAGAGGGUGACCGGCCACAUUGGGACUGAGAUACGGCCCAGACUCCUACGGGAGGCAGCAGUGGGGAAUAUUGCACAAUGGGCGGAAGCCUGAUGCAGCAACGCCGCGUGCGGGAUGACGGCCUUCGGGUUGUAAACCGCUUUCGCCUGUGACGAAGCGUGAGUGACGGUAAUGGGUAAAGAAGCACCGGCUAACUACGUG